This 271-nucleotide unclassified non-coding RNA is filed under the name Hevea brasiliensis (rubber tree). The record is from RNAcentral. Lineage: Eukaryota; Viridiplantae; Streptophyta; Magnoliopsida; Malpighiales; Euphorbiaceae.
UCUCUCUCUCUCUCUCUCUCUCUCUCCUACUUGCUUUCUUCAAUAAUUAAUAUUCAAUAAUUUUCUCUUUUGAGCUUUUGAUUUUGGUUAGCGAAAGUAAAUGUUGAUGGAGUUGCAGGGUCACCUAAUCCAAUACCCAUUUAUUAACUUCUUGAUUCUUGGCAUCACCCAGAGCUCCAAACUAUAAGUAUUUACAUUCAAUCUUUUCGCCCCAAGUUCUUCAUUCAAGAUUAAUUUUUUUUAAAAAAAAAUGUCUGCUUUAGAAAUGUCC